CCUACGGGUGGCAGUAGUGAGGAAUAUUGGUCAAUGGACGAGAGUCUGAACCAGCCAAGUAGCGUGAAGGAUGACUGCCCUAUGGGUUGUAAACUUCUUUUAUAUGGGAAUAAAACGUUCCACGUGUGGGAUUUUGUAUGUACCAUAUGAAUAAGGAUCGGCUAACUCCGUGCCAGCAGCCGCGGUAAUACGGAGGAUCCGAGCGUUAUCCGGAUUUAUUGGGUUUAAAGGGAGCGUAGGUGGAUUGUUAAGUCAGUUGUGAAAGUUUGCGGCUCAACCGUAAAAUUGCAGUUGAAACUGGCAGUCUUGAGUACAGUAGAGGUGGGCGGAAUUCGUGGUGUAGCGGUGAAAUGCUUAGAUAGCACGAAGAACUCCGAUUGCGAAGGCAGCUUACUAAACUGCCACUGACAUUGAUGCUCGAAAGCGUGGGGAGCAAACAGGAUUAGAUACCCCAGUAGUC
Molecule: ribosomal RNA, 460 nt
Filed under: uncultured bacterium
Lineage: Bacteria
Description: partial 16S ribosomal RNA
Rfam family: Bacterial small subunit ribosomal RNA
Source: RNAcentral